Engraulis encrasicolus (European anchovy) is the source of this 2354-nucleotide long non-coding RNA. RefSeq lists it as uncharacterized. Lineage: Eukaryota; Metazoa; Chordata; Actinopteri; Clupeiformes; Engraulidae. The record is from RefSeq and is a predicted model, not a curated record. The transcript has 3 exons.
GUAACAGAGGUACUCUAACAAGGAGAUAGAACACUGACGAAUGUCUCCAUAGGAAUAAACGGUGUGAAAUCGUAACGCCAAAACGUCGAAUGCCUGCUUAUCUCCCGCCUACCCGCAACAAGAGCCAAUCGGUUGCUGAGCUGUGCCAUCAUUGAUCCAAUCAUCUCAUCGCAUCGACGCAAGCGCAAAAAUGAGCUUUUACGACGGCUCGUUCCUCAUCAGCUGUUGCCAUGUGUGUGGCCCGUUUUCCGACCGUACCGUAACCAGGUAAUGGGAUCUACCCGCCAGAUGUACAACUGUCUUGGGAAUCCUCAUACAGACUAAAGGUGUUUUGCCCCCGCGGUUGUGAAGAGGAUGCUGUGGAAGUGGCAGCAUGAACGUGUCACACAGACAUUGGCUAAACUGCUCAGCUUCUACACUUGCCCUCAGAGUUCACAUAUGGUUAAGUGCCCAGGUGUCCAGCCAGGUUCAGACUGAUGCUGGUAACAAGAGGAAAACAUGCUGAUUGGUAAGUGAGAUCCCUGCUCAACAAAAUCCACACAGCACAACAAGUAAGCCUAGUUUGUGGUGUCAAAUGUAAAAUGUAAGUUUCAUCAAAAAGUUGUAGAACACAUCUGCAUAAAUUGCAGGCCAUCAAAGUAGUGAAUGGGCAGGGAAAACACAACCAGUAGGCUUAUGAAUGACUUUGACUCAGCACAGCACAGCAGAUGCGAUGCUACCAUUCCUUGGGAAUAUGACACAGAGGCCUGCUACUCCAUUGUAAAUAUUGACUGGAAAUGUUCAUGUUUCAACUGUUUAAAAACAUUGGACUCAGGGGAAAAAAAUCUCUAGGUGUAUAUAAGUGAAAGCCCACCUUUGCCAUUGUGACACAGCACACAAGUAUACACUGUACUCAAUGAAAUUGUAUUUUAUGCCUCACCUGUGCAAGGGUGCAGCCUACAUUGGCAUCCCAAGGGAGCAGUAUGUUGCAGUGUGGCGGGAAGGUACCAUGCUUGGGGUACCUCAGUCAUGGAGGAUGGAGGAGAGAGCACUGGUUAAUUACUCCCUCCACCAACCUGGCGGGCUGGGAGAUGAAACAGCAACCUUUGGGUUGUUCAGCCCUGGGCUACAGGACACCCUAACCGCUUACCAAUGACUGCCCCACUUAUCCAUGACUGUAUAAAAAAUACCACAGCGAGUACACUUUUAAAUUAAAUGGGUCAAUAUAGAUGAUAGACUUUUCAUCCACAGGCAGGACUUAGUCUACAUACAGUAGAUGGUGAAAUCCUGCUUACAAAACUGUUUAAAUAAAUAGUUGUAAACUUUUGACAUGUCAAAGUCAUAGCCUAAACUGUAGGGUAUGUUAUGUAAAGGGUGAUUUUCACAUCCGGCCCAUGUUCACAGAUUUUUUUUUUCUCCUGCAGGAAUGAUUCAACGAUGGACAUUUUGCUUAAUUGUGGAAAAAAUAAAUGGAAAAACUUCUAUGGUUUCUUGUGUUUUCAUUGGUGAGGCAUAUGGGUUAAGCACUGAUCAGGAAGACCUCAAAAAAGGCGGAAUUCCACUGCAGCGGUGAGAACAUUCAGACGUCUUUUUUGUUUAUGGAAAGAGCUGAUUUUCUAGUAUGCUAGGUUCAUAACUGCAACCUAAAAUCAGCUGUUCCUCGAGACGUCAGGAUGCUUUCCUCGCGCAGAUGGGGUACGUCCAGUAGGUCGUAAUUAAAUCGGGUAAAUGUUGGCUGGAUAUAAAGCGGCUAAACGUCGGCGAGAUGCAUGUAAAUAAAUGCAGCGGCAAGAUGUCUUUGAAAUAGCGGCAGCUCAUCGGCCAGAUGCUGGGAGACGUCGAGAUAGCCAAUGCAUCGGUAAAACAUAGGCGUUCCAUCGGACGCCGCACGUCUGCCCAACAUCUUGCCGAUGAGCAAACGUUCUUCUAUAGACGUCUUGCCGAUGUAUUUUACAUCUUGCGACGUUGGCAAGACGUAAGUGUGCUGUCUGGGAAGCGAUGUCUGUCAUCCGACAGCCGAUGGAGGAGAUGUGGAUGGGUCUGGAGUGGAGAGACCCGGCAGAGAUGGUAUCUAGGAGACAACCAACAGACUGGAAAGCAGAACGUCAUGUCGUGAAGUCUUGCACAUGCGCAGUUCAAAAUUAAGCUUGAGAAAAAACGUGUUUUACGGUGUUACAGUCAUACAUACGGUCAUUCUAAGACAGCUGUUUUGAUUCGUUUUUCAUUGCGAUUCCAACCCCGUGAGUUCUGUAUCGAUAAGUUGUCCCACUUUUGAUCUCCCCAUUAACUCCCCAUUCACGAAAGUCUUACUAAUCUGAAUUAGAAGCCCCGACGCGUAGCCAAGAUGGCCGCCGAGUGUUCUAUCUCCCCUUAGC